This 1000-nucleotide ribosomal RNA is filed under the name Curtobacterium oceanosedimentum. RNAcentral's name for it is "bacterial SSU rRNA". It matches the Rfam family "Bacterial small subunit ribosomal RNA", at positions 68 to 1071 of the family's 1533-position model. The record is from RNAcentral. Lineage: Bacteria; Bacillati; Actinomycetota; Actinomycetes; Micrococcales; Microbacteriaceae.
GGUAUAGCCACAGCUUGCUGGGUGGAUUAGUGGCGAACGGGUGAGUAACACGUGAGUAACCUGCCCCUGACUCUGGGAUAAGCGUUGGAAACGACGUCUAAUACUGGAUACGACUGCCGGCCGCAUGGUCUGGUGGUGGAAAGAUUUUUUGGUUGGGGAUGGACUCGCGGCCUAUCAGCUUGUUGGUGAGGUAAUGGCUCACCAAGGCGACGACGGGUAGCCGGCCUGAGAGGGUGACCGGCCACACUGGGACUGAGACACGGCCCAGACUCCUACGGGAGGCAGCAGUGGGGAAUAUUGCACAAUGGGCGAAAGCCUGAUGCAGCAACGCCGCGUGAGGGAUGACGGCCUUCGGGUUGUAAACCUCUUUUAGUAGGGAAGAAGCGAAAGUGACGGUACCUGCAGAAAAAGCACCGGCUAACUACGUGCCAGCAGCCGCGGUAAUACGUAGGGUGCAAGCGUUGUCCGGAAUUAUUGGGCGUAAAGAGCUCGUAGGCGGUUUGUCGCGUCUGCUGUGAAAUCCCGAGGCUCAACCUCGGGCUUGCAGUGGGUACGGGCAGACUAGAGUGCGGUAGGGGAGAUUGGAAUUCCUGGUGUAGCGGUGGAAUGCGCAGAUAUCAGGAGGAACACCGAUGGCGAAGGCAGAUCUCUGGGCCGUAACUGACGCUGAGGAGCGAAAGCGUGGGGAGCGAACAGGAUUAGAUACCCUGGUAGUCCACGCCGUAACGUUGGGCGCUAGAUGUAGGGACCUUUCCACGGUUUCUGUGUCGUAGCUAACGCAUUAAACGCCCCGCCUGGGGAGUACGGCCGCACGGCUAAAACUCAAAGGAAUUGACGGGGGGCCCGCACAAGCGGCGGGAGCAUGCGGAUUAUUUCUAUGCAUCGCGAAGACCCUAACCAAUGCUUGAACAUACACCGGCAACGGCCAUAGAUGGUCGCCCCCCUUGCUGGUCGGUGUACAGGUGGUUGCAUGGGAUGUCGUCAUCCUCGUCGUCGUGAG